AACGCACAUGGCACCCACUGGACCAUCCGGGGGGUAUACCUGUUUGAGAAUCGUAUCCGUCUUUUUCCAUGUCAUUAUGGAAAAGGUUUGAGGCUUUAAUCCCCUCUUUGGAGAUUAGCCUUGAAAAGCAGGAAGGCCCGGGUUCACCAGGUCUGAUGCUUUGCAGCAUCGUGUGGUAAGGCGCCUCCCUCUAAAGUUGGAGCCAACAGCACUUUGUUGUGCAUCUUAUGACCCAUGAUCCUCGUUCCCUUUACAAGCCGAGCUUAGGGGGCCCUCACGUCCCCUUCUCGCGGUGCGCCACUCGCGCGCACUCCCAUCUUGAUCUCAAAUCAGGCAGGACUACCCGCUGAACUUAA
This 356-nucleotide unclassified non-coding RNA is filed under the name uncultured soil eukaryote. Its description in RNAcentral is "sequence contains 5.8S rRNA gene, ITS2, 28S rRNA gene". The record is from RNAcentral.